This 131-nucleotide small RNA is filed under the name Salmonella enterica subsp. enterica serovar Hadar. Its description in RNAcentral is "RtT sRNA". It matches the Rfam family "RtT RNA". From Rfam's summary of the family: This family represents a bacterial cis-regulatory element known as RtT RNA. The exact function of RtT is unknown although it is thought that it may be involved in changing the cellular response in relation to amino acid starvation. The record is from RNAcentral. Lineage: Bacteria; Pseudomonadati; Pseudomonadota; Gammaproteobacteria; Enterobacterales; Enterobacteriaceae.
ACAGCUCUCUGUACGGGAAGGAUGAGAAGCUUCGACUAAGGUUCGAUUCGAGCGCAGCGAGAAAGCGUUGCCGCAGGCAACGACCCGAAGGGCGAAGCGCGCAGCGCUGAGUCAUCCUUCCCCCACCACCA